GAGAACAUCGUGUCUGAAAGCAGGUGUUUUUCUGAAUGUCAAGCUUUAUCUUCUUGAGUUGUAUGUGUGAAAUCUGUAAUUAUCAAAUGUUAAUGAUUAUAGAAUAACCCACGAGGUACGAGUGAUUACGGAAAAUAUGUCACGAGUGAAAUGAAUGUUUUAAGUUCCGAGCUAUAGCUUUGUCGUAAUGAAUGACCCGACUUUACCCAGAUAUGAGACAGUCGAAACCAGGAAUGACAAGAGAACCGGCGUUACAGUUUAAUCCGGAUAACAAGUUUAAUGAACAUCGUGUGUGAUUUGAGACAAGUGUGACUGAUUGCAAUUGGAAACAUGUGCAUGUGGGAUUUUAGGAAAACUUGUCAAACACGCUUGUGGACUGGACACAGUCAGAUGACGGGAGUUUGUUGAUAUUUUGAUGUGAUUCAUAAUGGUCGAAUACCUGUUGAUAGACUAACACGGUAUCUGGAGACUUGGUGACAAGGUGUCCGCAUUCACGGAGUUCAUUUAGUUCAAUAUCGGACACAGGAUCAGCUCGCUGGGUUAUCGAUGUCAUCAUCGUUCACAAAGGCAAACCUGUCUGUACUAAGUCCGGUUUUGGGUUUCGCGGAAUAGCAAGUCCUCUAACACAAACGCAAACCCGGAGUUGGUGGUGUUGAUCUUGGCGCACUAGGAACAGUUUCCGGCAACAUCACAAUCUGAAUCUUGGAACUUCAAUCUGGCCAUAUGCAGUUUUGACAACAAAGACAUUAAAUGUGUUCAGAGGUUGAAUUAUACGAAUAACUUUUCAUGUCAGUCAGAUCUCAGUCCGCUUUAACGAGGUCAUUUACUUUGACAGGUGUCAAAUGUUUGUUUACAAACGCAGACGUAGCUUUGGUUUUUAAUGUAAAACGAAAAUCAUGUGAAAUAAAUGAAAAAUAAAU
Molecule: long non-coding RNA, 920 nt
Organism: Haliotis rufescens (red abalone)
Lineage: Eukaryota; Metazoa; Mollusca; Gastropoda; Lepetellida; Haliotidae
Exons: 2
Source: RefSeq, a predicted model, not a curated record